This 72-nucleotide transfer RNA is filed under the name Caudoviricetes sp. RNAcentral describes it as "tRNA-Thr". It matches the Rfam family "tRNA". Rfam says of the family: Transfer RNA (tRNA) molecules are approximately 80 nucleotides in length. Their secondary structure includes four short double-helical elements and three loops (D, anti-codon, and T loops). Lineage: Duplodnaviria; Heunggongvirae; Uroviricota; Caudoviricetes. The record is from RNAcentral.
GCUUCAAUAGCACAGUGGUAGUGCAGCACUCUUGUAAAGUGCAUGUCGUAGGUUCAAAUCCUACUUGAAGCU